Molecule: ribosomal RNA, 404 nt
Filed under: Actinomycetes bacterium
Lineage: Bacteria; Bacillati; Actinomycetota; Actinomycetes
Description: Actinobacteria bacterium partial 16S ribosomal RNA
Rfam family: Bacterial small subunit ribosomal RNA
Source: RNAcentral
UGGGGAAUAUUGGACAAUGGGCGCAAGCCUGAUCCAGCCAUGCCGCGUGAGUGAUGAAGGCCCUAGGGUUGUAAAGCUCUUUCACCGAUGAAGAUAAUGACGGUAACCGGAGAAGAAGCCCCGGCUAACUUCGUGCCAGCAGCCGCGGUAAUACGAAGGGGGCUAGCGUUGUUCGGAUUUACUGGGCGUAAAGCGCACGUAGGCGGACUUUUAAGUCAGGGGUGAAAUCCCGGGGCUCAACCCCGGAACUGCCUUUGAUACUGGAAGUCUUGAGUAUGGUAGAGGUGAGUGGAAUUCCGAGUGUAGAGGUGAAAUUCGUAGAUAUUCGGAGGAACACCAGUGGCGAAGGCGGCUCACUGGACCAUUACUGACGCUGAGGUGCGAAAGCGUGGGGAGCAAACAGG